AAGUUCUCUCUCAAAGCAGCCGCUUCUCGUGUUGAAACCCUAAUCUGGUGGCCGCCGCCUCUCGCGGUCACCGGAUCUAGUUUCCAAAGUCGUUUUCCUGUCUUGUCUCCGUUCAUAUCCCUUUUCCUCCUCCGCGAGUUGUCUCUUCUACCCGGUGUACUGCAGAGCAGUGUGAAGAACCUCUGUUUUUUUAGAUCCAUUGAAACUUUGGUAGAUCUUUGUGGUGAAAGGGUGUUUGUGGGUGGUGUAUAGGUUUGCACCUUCCUCUGGUCUCCGUUUGCGACUCUGAUCGAGACAGUUUGAAAGGAGUUGAAUCCAGUUAUCUUCUCUGGGAGUUUUAGAGUGUGGCUUAGUUGGUCCUUGAUUUAGCAACGGGUUAGCAUUAAUGUGGUGGUGUGUGAUGAGCAGGUGAAGAUUCUGUCUUUGUGAUGAAGUUGGUCGCAGGUUUCCUUUUCAUCUCUCUGUUUGGAAUGGUCUUACUUCUGAUCUUUUAUUAAGUGUUGUUCCUGGUAUGUUUUUGCUCUCUGUUUGCCCUCGGUGGCUUCAUUUGGUGAAGCAAUAUAAUGAGGCUGAGAUGCAAAAGCUUUCAGAUGAUGGUGCGUUUGAGUGAGACCUUCCUUCUAUGAUGUUUCUUCAUGGUUUCUGCCUUGGUUCAAGCGUAGUGGUUCGUUGGUUUUAUCGUGAACAGGAGGUUCAGAUGAGAUCGUUGUGGUUUGGUGUUGUCAUCGUGAACUUGUGGUUCAGAUGAGGACUUGGCUCUUCACGAAGAAGUCUUCUACGUUAUGUGCUCUCUUGUUUAGUUCAUUGCAAGUCUUCCGGCUAGUCAUUGUCUUUUUAAGUUUUACUCUUGUAUUUUUGGAGGUUUGGUUCUGGGUUCGUGUAAGGAAUGUUAGGAUUUGGUCGAUGGUUCUUUGUUGAUAUGUAGCCCGUGUGUUUUGGGUUCUUGGUCCCCCUAGUGGGUUUAGUUUCCG
Molecule: long non-coding RNA, 971 nt
Organism: Raphanus sativus (radish)
Lineage: Eukaryota; Viridiplantae; Streptophyta; Magnoliopsida; Brassicales; Brassicaceae
Exons: 2
Source: RefSeq, a predicted model, not a curated record